This 439-nucleotide ribosomal RNA is filed under the name uncultured bacterium. RNAcentral describes it as "bacterial SSU rRNA". It matches the Rfam family "Bacterial small subunit ribosomal RNA", at positions 954 to 1392 of the family's 1533-position model. The record is from RNAcentral.
GCAUAACGCGAAGAACCUUACCAAGGCUUGACAUACACGAGAACGGGCCAGAAAUGGUCAACUCUUUGGACACUCGUGAACAGGUGGUGCAUGGUUGUCGUCAGCUCGUGUCGUGAGAUGUUGGGUUAAGUCCCGCAACGAGCGCAACCCUCGUCGCAUGUUGCCAGCACGUUAUGGUGGGGACUCAUGUGAGACUGCCGGGGUCAACUCGGAGGAAGGUGGGGAUGACGUCAAAUCAUCAUGCCCCUUAUGUCUUGGGCUUCACGCAUGCUACAAUGGCCGGUACAAAGGGCUGCGAUGUCGUAAGGCGGAGCGAAUCUCAAAAAGCCGGUCUCAGUUCGGAUUGAGGUCUGCAACUCGACCUCAUGAAGUCGGAGUCGCUAGUAAUCGCAGAUCAGCAACGCUGCGGUGAAUACGUUCCCGGGUCUUGUACACACCG